RNAcentral lists this ribosomal RNA (254 nucleotides) under uncultured bacterium. RNAcentral describes it as "partial 16S ribosomal RNA". It matches the Rfam family "Bacterial small subunit ribosomal RNA", at positions 524 to 776 of the family's 1533-position model. The record is from RNAcentral.
CACGUAGGGGGCGAGCGUUGUCCGGAUUUAUUGGGCGUAAAGAGCUCGUAGGCGGUUUCGUAAGUCGGAUGUGAAAACUCCAGGCUCAACUUGGAGACGCCAUUCGAUACUGCGAUGACUUGAGUCCGGUAGGGGAGUGUGGAAUUCCUGGUGUAGCGGUGAAAUGCGACGAUAUCAGGAGGAACACCUGUGGCGAAAGCGGCUCACUGGACCAUAACUGACGCUGAUGCACGAAAGCUAGGGGAGCAAACAGG